Molecule: long non-coding RNA, 423 nt
Organism: Haliotis rubra (blacklip abalone)
Lineage: Eukaryota; Metazoa; Mollusca; Gastropoda; Lepetellida; Haliotidae
Exons: 2
Source: RefSeq, a predicted model, not a curated record
CAUGUUUCAUGCUCUUUUUAUGAAAGUUAUUUAGGUUGUAUUUUGGUAGGGGUGGAUGUCAGCCUUAAUGUGGGAACAGAUCUCCCAAACACACCAUUUCAUUUAUGUGCAAAACAUGCAUUUGGUUCUCAAUGUGCUAUAUAAAGUCUUGUUAAGUUGAAGUUAACACAGUUGAACUUCAUACUGUCAAGGGAGAUCUAAGGAGAAGGCAUUUUUUACUUGGGGAAAAUUGCUCCCACUUCUGGUUUUCCUAGUCAAGAGUUCAAGAUAUAAGGCAGUACUACACUAUUCUGGAUGACAACAACAGAGCUGUUACACAUCGUAUACAGGAUUACAUCCAUGGACUAUUUUGUUGUGGACAUUCUGUGUUUAUGGACCAUCAGUGAACUUGUGUGUACUUUUGACCAUUGUUUGCCUCGCCAU